GCUUCUUCCGCGAGUGCGCUAAAUGGGACGACGCUGGCCGGAGGUUCCUCGUCUCCUUCAUGGACGGAGGCGGAAUCGGCGAGGUCGUUCCUUCCGACGACGGUGACAUCGACGCCCUUCGGGAAGUCACUUUGGUCAAAGACGCUGACCUCGCCGGAAACGCUUCCCUAGGAAUCGUUAUCGACCGCGACAGGAACCGCCUCCUCGUCGCGAGAGCCCUCUCUUCACUCCACGUGGAUGGUACAAUAACCUCGUCGCUCUUAACGGCAUUGUUUAUCAUCCGGAUGGUUUCCUUAUCGUCAUCCACACUUUCUCCGGUCUCUUAUACAAAAUCGACCUAACUGACGAUAAGGUCACUGUGGUUGAAGUUACUGGUGGCACGUUGAGGUUUGGUGAUGGGCUUGAGUUGUUGUCUCGCACUAAGAUUGUUGUUGCAGGUAAGUCUUUAGUGUUCUCAUUUUUAUGUCUACCAAUGAAUAUAAGACAACUAUAUUAAAAAAAAAAAAAUUAUUUGCGAGUGUUUUUAGGCAGUCCUUCUGCUAAAUUGGUGGAGAGCUCGGACGGGUGGCGGACAGCUACUGUGACAGGUUGGUUCAGUACCGGUAUGGUUCACCGGAUAGUCUCGUCUGCUACUGUGAAGGAAGGAAGAGUUUAUCUAAACCAUAUUGUUGGGUUUGGCUCUAAGAAGAGACACUUACUUGUAGAAGCUGUGUUUUAGACUGUUUAGUGUUAAUCUCUUGUUAAGUUAUGUGUGCUAAUGAUCUCUUUAAUGAUUCUAUUGAAAUGAUGUAAAGCCUCUCUUUAUCAAAUUUCAUUUAAUCUCUAGUAUACAAUCAUUAACAUCUUUCGCAUUACAAAUAACCAAAAAAAAAAUGCAUACCAUUAGUGACUUUAUAACCAAUGGUUACUUUACACUUUAGUGUCACCUUCGUCGUCAUAAUGAACAGGAGAAGCAGUAGAAACUCCACGUGGACUUCUUCUACUUCCUUGUUCGAAAAGCAACACCAUUCCAAACCAUAAACACCCUUUAACGAUCCUAACCAUACCGAUCGUUACAACCAUAUAGUAUAACCACCAAUUCACAAAAUCAACCGUUCCCACUUCAAAACUACCGUUAGCAUUAUUACCAUUGAUUGGUAAUAAUAACAACAAAGCUCUUUUAGCCUCAGCCACACCAACCAAAGCCUCUACUUCAUCUCGAAGCUUCCACCACCACAACGUCCCACAGCUCACGGCCAAAGCCACUCUCUCCACCACCGUCUCCUCUCUCCGGUGAUGACCAGCGUCUCCUCCCAUCAACGUGCUGUCCACCACCGGUCUCACGAUCACCCUACACCACAGAAGCAUUACCUCAUGAAGACCAAAGAAAAACACUAGCCUGCUCAAGAAGUUACGUUCGCUCCCGAUUAUUAAACCGUCGGGGUACGUUCCUUCGAGGCCUAAACCGACGGAGAUUUGAACAAGGAAAAGCGUCAAAAUAAAAUAAAAAAAGGCUUAAGAUGUUUUUCUCUCUUUAGUAGUAUAAAUGGCCAAACAAUGGCAUCUAAUAUCACCAAAUAAGCUUCAAUGCAAGCAAAUCCUAACAUUCCUAGAAAGUCUCUUGCAUUAAAUUGGCAAAGAAAAGUACAACAGAGAUUGUAUAAUUAUUAGUAUUGAAUUCUAGAUACACCUCUCUGGCCCAUUAUUCAUUUAACGGGCCACCAAAUAGCUGGCCCCACUUUACUAAUUGUCCUAAAAGUCGAACCGAACGUGUUCGCUCGCUCACCAACUUUAUGUUCCACACAUUACAUAAAGUCUCUCGGUCUUUGUCGUACUCGUACCCAAUCUCCAACGUUCUCUCUCGUUUAUUUUUCAAAAAAAUGUCGCCGUCCUUUUGCUCCGGCCGUUUCUCCGUCGCUCUCUUCCUCGUUAUCUCCGCCGUUCCCAUCUCUUACCUCGUUUCCCUCGAGCGAGCCGUUCCUUCCACGCACGUGUUCUCUUACCACAGUUCCGGCUUCUUCCGCGAGUGCGCUAAAUGGGACGACGCUGGCCGGAGGUUCCUCGUCUCCUUCAUGGACGGAGGCGGAAUCGGCGAGGUCGUUCCUUCCGACGACGGGGAAGUCACUUUGGUCAAAGACGCUGACCUCGCCGGAAACGCUUCACUCGGAAUCGUUAUCGACCGCGACAGGAACCGUCUCCUCGUCGCCGUCGCCGAUUUGCUUGGGAACCGCUAUAGCGCUUUAGCUGCCUAUGAUAUGUCCACGUGGCGCCGCGUCUUCCUCGCU
RNAcentral lists this long non-coding RNA (2264 nucleotides) under Brassica napus (rape). RNAcentral describes it as "long non-coding RNA (BNAP_LNC014763)". Lineage: Eukaryota; Viridiplantae; Streptophyta; Magnoliopsida; Brassicales; Brassicaceae. The record is from RNAcentral.